RNAcentral lists this non-coding RNA (123 nucleotides) under Chelonobacter oris. RNAcentral's name for it is "Aggregatibacter sRNA 54". It matches the Rfam family "Aggregatibacter sRNA 54". Rfam says of the family: Validated by RT-PCR, expression up-regulated during growth. The record is from Rfam by way of RNAcentral. Lineage: Bacteria; Pseudomonadati; Pseudomonadota; Gammaproteobacteria; Pasteurellales; Pasteurellaceae.
GCGUAAGAUCCGCACGAUUUGAUAAUAUGAGGAACACACUUUGGACAGUCAUAGACGAUACUGGUUUAAUGCUUACCCUUGAUAUUUUCCCCGUCAUUUUUCAAAUGCUUGCCGGCGAAAAAU